GAUGAACGCUGGCGGCGUGCCUAAUACAUGCAAGUCGAGCGAACAGAUGAGGAGCUUGCUCCUCUGACGUUAGCGGCGGACGGGUGAGUAACACGUGGAUAACCUACCUAUAAGACUGGGAUAACUUCGGGAAACCGGAGCUAAUACCGGAUAAUAUAUUGAACCGCAUGGUUCAAUAGUGAAAGACGGUUUUGCUGUCACUUAUAGAUGGAUCCGCGCCGCAUUAGCUAGUUGGUAAGGUAACGGCUUACCAAGGCAACGAUGCGUAGCCGACCUGAGAGGGUGCUCGCCCCAACUGGACCUGAGACACGGUCCAGACUCCUACGGGAGGCAGCCGUAGGGCAUCUUCCGCCAUGGGCGAAAGCCUGACGGAGCAACGCCGCGUGCGUGAUGAAGGUCUUCGGAUCGUAAAACUCUGUUAUUAGUGAAGAACAAAUGUGUAAGUAACUAUGCACGUCUUGACGGUACCUAAUCAGAAAGCCACGGCUAACUACGUG
This 497-nucleotide ribosomal RNA is filed under the name uncultured bacterium. Its description in RNAcentral is "partial 16S ribosomal RNA". It matches the Rfam family "Bacterial small subunit ribosomal RNA", at positions 28 to 507 of the family's 1533-position model. The record is from RNAcentral.